AAAAAACUAAAAGUUUUGUUUAGCGAACUGAUUACAAUGGAAGAUAUAAUAUGUUAGGGCAUUGGAAGAGACUAAAAAGGUUAUUGAAAGGAUACACCAGAGUUUUUUAUCGCAUUCUUUCCUAAACAAAGUGGAUAUAAUAGAUCUCUUUGCAUCCGAGUAAAAAAAGAUAUUAAGAGGUGCAAAGUAUUAUUCGCUGUAAUCUUGAUUUGAAUUCCAACUUGCACCUACUUUGGCAAACGGCUGAGUAAUUUGGUGCAAUUUACCAAAUUGAUGAUGAGGCCAUACAUGUUGUAGGAAGACUUCGAGGCACAUCUAAGGUUAGAAGCAUCGUCAUUCUUGUACAGUCGAGCAAAUGAGCUGGACUUCGCCAGUUUAAACCCCUUUCCUCCAUAAUCCCAUACACAACUACACACCCCUAACAAAAUACAAUUAUCUCACUUUCCCUUCAUUUUGAUAUGAUAAAUGGUAAUGAAAAAUCUUGAUGUGACAGACCUCGAAAACGUUCCCAUAAGACCAGAAAUAGUGAAAUCCUAUACAAAGUAAGCCAUGAUAUGGAAAACUCUGGGUAAAAGCAAAAGGGGAGGUGAGAGAUUGGGAAGUGGCUGCUAUGGACUUAUUGGUGAGUGCACUGUAAUUGAGGCUACCACAUGGAAGGAAUGAGCACUUGGUUUUGGUCUUGGUGGUCAGGGCAGCGCAGCCAUAACAUCCAUGGUUUCAUUGCUACCCGUUAACAUGUGAAAGACAAAUGAUGCUAAGUGAAAGGUGUUACUCCGAGGCCCACACCUUAUUAAGAAUUUAUA
This is a non-coding RNA of Amborella trichopoda, 803 nucleotides long. The record is from RefSeq and is a predicted model, not a curated record. NCBI's taxonomy places the organism in Eukaryota, Viridiplantae, Streptophyta, Magnoliopsida, Amborellales, Amborellaceae.